GUGGGGAAUCUUCCGCAAUGGACGAAAGUCUGACGGAGCAACGCCGCGUGAGUGAUGAAGGUCUUCGGAUUGUAAAGCUCUGUUAAUCGGGACGAAAGAGCCUAGUGUGAAUAAUGCUAGGAAGUGACGGUACCGGAAUAGAAAGCCACGGCUAACUACGUGCCAGCAGCCGCGGUAAUACGUAGGUGGCAAGCGUUGUCCGGAAUUAUUGGGCGUAAAGCGCGCGCAGGCGGAUCUGCCAGUCUGUCUUAAAAGUUCGGGGCUUAACCCCGUGAUGGGAUGGAAACUACAGAUCUAGAGUAUCGGAGAGGAAAGUGGAUUUCCUAGUGUAGCGGUGAAAUGCGUAGAUAUUAGGAAGAACACCAGUGGCGAAGGCGACUUUCUGGACGAAAACUGACGCUGAGGCGCGAAAGUCAGGGGAGCGAACGGGAUUAGAAACCCGAGUAGUCC
RNAcentral lists this ribosomal RNA (450 nucleotides) under uncultured bacterium. Its description in RNAcentral is "partial 16S ribosomal RNA". It matches the Rfam family "Bacterial small subunit ribosomal RNA", at positions 354 to 796 of the family's 1533-position model. The record is from RNAcentral.